CAGUAGCCACGGGAAAACGAAGGGGGCUAGCGUUGUUCGGAAUUACUGGGCGUAAAGGGCGCGUAGGCGGCCAUUCAAGUUAGAUGUGAAAGCCCUGGGCUCAACCUGGGGGCUGCAUUCAAUACGUGCGGGCUUGAGUGUGGAAGAGGGUUGUGGAAUUCCCAGUGUAGAGGUGAAAUUCGUAGAUAUUGGGAAGAACACCGGUGGCGAAGGCGGCAACCUGGUCCAUAACUGACGCUGAGGCGCGAAAGCGUUGGGAGCAAACAGGAUUAGAUACCCCCGUAGUCCCUGUCUCUUAUAC
Molecule: ribosomal RNA, 301 nt
Filed under: uncultured bacterium
Lineage: Bacteria
Description: partial 16S ribosomal RNA
Rfam family: Bacterial small subunit ribosomal RNA
Source: RNAcentral